Molecule: transfer RNA, 72 nt
Filed under: Phytophthora boehmeriae
Lineage: Eukaryota; Oomycota; Peronosporomycetes; Peronosporales; Peronosporaceae
Also listed under: 1 other name
Rfam family: tRNA
About the family: Transfer RNA (tRNA) molecules are approximately 80 nucleotides in length. Their secondary structure includes four short double-helical elements and three loops (D, anti-codon, and T loops).
Source: Rfam by way of RNAcentral
GAUGAUGUAGUUUAAUGGUAGAGCUUUGGAAUCAUAAUCCUAAUGUUGUAGGUUCAAAUCCUACCAUCAUUA